GGCCGCGUGGCGAAACCUAUAACGCGUCUGCCUACGGAGCAAACGAUUGCAGGUUCGAGUCCUGCCGUGGUCG
RNAcentral lists this transfer RNA (73 nucleotides) under Angiostrongylus costaricensis. It matches the Rfam family "tRNA". From Rfam's summary of the family: Transfer RNA (tRNA) molecules are approximately 80 nucleotides in length. Their secondary structure includes four short double-helical elements and three loops (D, anti-codon, and T loops). Lineage: Eukaryota; Metazoa; Nematoda; Chromadorea; Rhabditida; Metastrongylidae. The record is from Rfam by way of RNAcentral.